This 464-nucleotide ribosomal RNA is filed under the name uncultured bacterium. Its description in RNAcentral is "partial 16S ribosomal RNA". It matches the Rfam family "Bacterial small subunit ribosomal RNA", at positions 339 to 795 of the family's 1533-position model. The record is from RNAcentral.
CUACGGGUUGCUGCAGUGGGGAAUAUUGCACAAUGGGCGCAAGCCUGAUGCAGCCAUGCCGUGUGUAUGAAGAAGGCCUUCGGGUUGUAAAGUACUUUCAGCGGGGAGGAAGGGAGUAAAGUUAAUACCUUUGCUCAUUGACGUUACCCGCAGAAGAAGCACCGGCUAACUCCGUGCCAGCAGCCGCGGUAAUACGGAUGGUGCAAGCGUUAAUCGGAAUUACUGGGCGUAAAGCGCACGCAGGCGGUUUGUUAAGUCAGAUGUGAAAGCCCCGGGCUCAACCUGGGAACUGCAUCUGAUACUGGCAAGCUUGAGUCUCGUAGAGGGGGGUAGAAUUCCAGGUGUAGCGGUGAAAUGCGUAGAGAUCUGGAGGAAUACCGGUGGCGAAGGCGGCCCCCUGGACGAAGACUGACGCUCAGGUGCGAAAGCGUGGGGAGCAAACAGGAUUAGAUACCCCCGUAGUC